GAGUUUGUGCAUGGCAUGCACUCGCCGAGUUGUUCUUGAGACUCGGCGAGUAGGGUCGGGGUUUCACGUAAAGUGUUCAGCGAGUGGACUCGCCGGGUUGGGGGUUGACCCAGUGAGUCAGGGAGAGUCAUUAGGGGGAUGAGUCAAGCCUGAACUCGCCGAGUUGUUCUUGAGACUCGGCGAGUUGAGUCGUGGUGGCCCCGCGAUUCAUGCCAGGUGGAACUCGUCGAGUUAGGGAAGUACUCGACGUGUCAAGAGAGGAUCCUAGGGAGUCAGUGAACACGUAUAGACUCGCCGAGUCGCUCUAGUGCACUCGCCGAGUCCGGUCAAAGUUGACCGUUGACCAGAGUUGACCAGUGUUGACUUGAAAGGGUUAGUCAACCUUAGUUGUGGAAGUGUUAAUUAGAGAUAUAUUGUGUUAUAGGAGGAUUAUAGCUCGGGGGAUCGAGCGCGAGUGAUUUUCGGAUUUGCGAGUUAUCGAGAUACGCGAGGUGAGUCUUCUCACUAUACUUUACCUUGAGUAGGUAACCAGAGUUAUGUGAUAGAGUAUUUGUAUGCUAUAUGUUACGUGUUGUACUGCUUUAUUUCUAUAUGAUUUAUGUUGUGCAUGUUUAUAGAGUUAGAACCGGAAGGUUCACAAAGUUAGAACCGGAGGGUUCACAGAGUAGGGUCCACGGACCCACAGAGUUACAGCCUCGAGUGGCUAAUAUGUGUUAUGUGUGGUAUUUUGGGGAACUCACUAAGCUUUGUGCUUACAGUGGUGGUGUUAUUUGUUUCAGGUACUAGUGAUGACCGUGGGAAGGCACCGGCUUGAUCAGUACACACACACGGGAUUUAUGUUAUCAGAUGUUAGGAAUAUUAUAUAGCAUGGAUUGAGUUUCAAACAUUGUUGUUUUUAUGAAUGUUAAAUGAAAUUGUGUUUUUAUAUUAUGUGAAAAAUUAUCUUGAAAUUCGCGGCGUUACAAGUUGGUAUCAGAGCCUUGGUUUGAGCGAUUCGAGUACACCUUCGGGCGUAUUUGAACUCAAACUGAGGAUUUGAGAAGUAUUUUCAAAAAGAGUAAAAUAUUUUUGGAAAACCGCAGAGCAGAGUCGUGUGUACGAUCAGUCCGUGCCCGAACGGUGAUUUCCUAAGAUACCCUCAUGGUAUGUGUUAUAAUAUUGAUAUGAUGUAUUCUCAUGCUAGAGUAGGCUAGGUGCUCCUAUUAGGACUAGAGUGGCCUGAUUUGUGAUGCCUUAGCCUAGGGAGAGGUGAGCUGCUAUGAGAUGCUUGAGAGUGAGUAGGUAGCAGCGAGGGGCUUAUGAGAGAUCUGUUAGAGAGUGGAUUGUGCGUAAUAGAGUACUUGGAACUUGGGAUCCGAAGAGGAAGACUUGGGGUGUAUACUGAUACGGUACGGACAGUAGUAUUGGGCCCAUACUACUGAAAGCACCGGGGUGGUGUGCAGCCCAAGUAAGAAUCUUUGGAAUGCCAAGGAUCAAGGAGGGAUGAGUUGUUGAGUGUGAGUAUGCUCGAAAGGGAUUCUAAUUUAUCGUAUGUUGUAUUUCAGAGGUAGAUCAUGGUGAGGACACGUCUUAUGCCUGAGAGCAGUGGGGCUAGUGAUGAGGAGAUCCGCCAGAUCAUCCAUGAGGAGGUGGCUGCGGCCAUCAGGGCAGAGAUACCAGAGAUGUUCGGGUCUAUUAAGACCAUGUUGAUUGAGACUUUCGAUGAGCAUUAUGUUGCUCUUUCUGAGGCUGUAGUUGUAGUGGCCACCGCAGCUAUUGCUGCCAUGAGGCCGUAGGGUGGUGAUGCGUUGCUGUUCCGAGAGUUCAGCAACACAAAACCGCCGGAGUUUGAUGGGACCCAGGACUCGGUGGCAGCUAUGAGAAGGAUUUCAGACAUAGAGGGGUGUUUCUUCACUUGCUCAUCUCCUGAGAAUUUGAGAGUUCGGUUCGUGCUGAACCAGCUUCGCUUGGGAGCGAAGGACUGGUGGAAGUUUGUGACAGCGCACUUUACGCCUGCUGAGCUUGCGGCAGUGACCUGGGAGAGGUUCACUGCCAUGUUCCGAGAUGAGUACGUUCCCCAGGUGGAGAGGGAGCGUUUGGCCCAGGAGUUUCUGACCCUCAAGCAGGGUACUGAGUCUGUUACGGUGAUUACCAGGAUGUUCCAUGAGAGGGCGAUGUUCUGCCCUGAGCACGUGUCCACUGAGCAGGCACGUAUGAGCCGAUAUUUGAGUAUNUACCAGGAUGUUCCAUGAGAGGGCGAUGUUCUGCCCUGAGCACGUGUCCACUGACCAGGCACGUAUGAGCCGAUAUCUAAGUAUGUUGAGGCGAGACAUUCGGGAGUUCGCGGUGAACUCCUCGUACCGGACAUUUGCCGAGCUUCAGGCAAAUACCCGGAAGAGGGAGACUGAGCUAGAGACUCAGGCCAGGGAGGAGGCGGAGUCUCAGGGGAGGGAUCUGCGACCGACACAGUCUCAGCCGGCAGCCAAGCGGGCCAAACCCACUGAUCCCAAAUCAGGGAGCCAGAAGGGCCGCACUUGUGGGAAGUGCGACAACGGUCAUGAUGGAGUCUGUAGAGCGGGAUCUUGCUACAAGUGUGGCAAGGAGGGGCAUAUGGCCAAGGACUGCCCCAAGGGGUUUGUGGUGUGUUUCCAUUGCUACCAGACCGGACACCGGAAGGCCGAGUGUCCGCAAUUACGAGGAUCAUCUCAGGGAUCUGCCCCUGCCGCCAUCAGAGCUACCGAGAGUCGGCCAGUGAAGGCCGAGGCGCCGAGGGCACGAGGGAGAGCUUUUCAGUUGACCGCGGAGGAGGUCCGCGCAGCGCCCGAUGUCGUGGCUGGUAUGUAUUCUUUCGUGUAUUUAUUUUGAUGUUGAGAUAUUAUGCUUAUAUUAUGUUAUGCGUAGGUACUUUUCUUGUGAAUUCUGUACCUGCCUUGGUGUUAUUUGACUCGGGUGCGAGUCGGUCUUUUAUGUCUUUGGCUUUUAGUCAGCAUAUCAGUGUUAGUCGUGAGGUGUUGAGUCGGCCUCUGAGAGUUACCAUAGCUGACGAGAGGGUGAUAUAUGCCACGGAGGUUCUCCGAGGGUGUGUAGUCGAGAUUUUCAGUGAUGAGUUCCCGAUUGAUCUGGUUCCUAUUGCGAUGGGUGAUGUCUGUGUCAUUGUGGGCAUGGACUGGUUGAGCAGAUUCAGUGUGGUUAUUGACUACAAGCGACAGCUGGUGACCAUACGACACCCUAGUGGGGGAGUUCUUGCGGUGUACGAUGAGGGUACACGUUCUGGAUCAGCGUUUUGUUCGGCCGCUAGGGCGAGGCAGUGUCUACAGCAGGGCUGUAAGGGUUUUGUGGCGUAUGUGACGGAUACGCGGGUGGAUUCCGAGAGACUGAGGUCAGUAGAGGAGGUUCCGGUUGUGCGUGAGUUCCGGAAUGUGUUUCCUGAGGAGUUGCCGGGUGUGGCUCCUAUGAGGCAAGUGGAGUUCAAUAUCGAUUUGGUUCCGGGGGCCACGCCUAUCUCUAAGGUUCCUUAUCGCCUUGCACCUCCAGAGAUGCAAGAGUUAUCCUCGCAGCUUUAGUGCUGGGGAAGGGGUUUAUUCGGCCGAGCAGCUCGCCGUGGGGAGCGCCUAUCCUGUUUGUCAAGAAGAAGGAUGGUUCACACCGGAUGUGCAUUGAUUACCGGGAGUUGAACAAGCUGACGGUCAAGAACCGUUACCCGUUGCCGAGGAUCGACGAUUUAUUCGAUCAAUUACAGGGAGCAUCUAGGUUCUCCAAGAUUGAUUUGAGGUCUGGAUAUCAUCAGGUGAGGGUGCGAGAUGAGGACGUCCAGAAGACAGCGUUCAGGACGUGUUAUGGGCAUUACAAGUUUGUGGUGAUGCCUUUCGGGCUCACCAAUGCCCCGACAGUGUUCAUGGAUCUCAUGAACCGAGUGUGCAGGCCGAUGCUGGAUCGGUCGGUGAUUGUAUUUAUCGACGACAUUUUGGUAUAUUCGAGAUCUAGAGAGCAGCAUGAGGAGCAUUUGAGGGAGGUCCUUGGAGUUCUGAGAUCGGAGAGGCUUUAUGCCAAAUUCUCCAAGUGUGAUUUCUGGUUGCGAGAGGUCCAGUUCCUAGGGCAUCUCGUUAACCAGAAAGGGAUAUUGGUCGACCCGGCCAAAGUUGAGGCAGUGAUGAGUUGGGAGGUGCCGAGGUCACCCUCCGAGAUCAGGAGUUUCUUAGGGUUGGCAGGUUAUUAUCGGAGAUUUAUCAAGGAUUUCUCUAAGAUCGCAGUGCCACUCACCAGGUUGACCCGGAAGGGUGUCGCUUUUUCAUGGGGCCCCGAGCAGCAGGCCUCCUUUGAGACGCUUCGCCAAAGGUUAUGCGAAGCCCCGGUGUUAGCCCUCCCGGAGGGGAUGGAGGACUUUGUGGUAUACUGUGAUGCAUCGAUUUUGGGGUUGGGAGCGGUGCUGAUGCAGAGAGGGCAUGUGAUAACAUAUGCAUUGAGGCAGUUGAAGCCUCAUGAGACAAGAUAUCCCACCCAUGAUCUAGACUUGGGGGCAAUGGUGUAUGCCCUCAAGAUUUAGCGUCACUACUUGUAUGGGGUUCGAUGUAUGAUAUACACGGACCAUAAGAGUUUGAAGUAAUUGAUGGAUCAGCCCAACCUAAAUAUGCGACAUAGAAGGUGGUUGGAUGUGGUCAAGGAUUAUGAUUGUGAGAUCCUGUACCACCCAGGCAAGGCUAAUGUUGUAGCUGAUGCACUGAGUCGCAGGGCGGAAAGCACCCCGCUGCAGGAUGUAUGUUUGAGAUUGACCGUGAUCGCUCCAGUGUUGGACGCCAUUCGUGGGGCACAGGCCGAGGCUGUGCAACCUGAGAUGCAGAAGAAAGAGCGGGUUGUUGGUUUGGUUUCAGAGUUCGUUACCGAUGGUCGGGGGCUUAUGACAUUUCAGGGGCGUAUCUGGGUGCCGUUUGUGGGAGGAACGCGUACCAUUUUGAUGGAGGAGGCUCAUCGGUCGAAAUUUUCGAUCCAUCCUGGGGCCACUAAGAUGUAUUUGGACCCGAGGAAAGAGUAUUGGUGGCCCUCUAUGAAGAGGGAUGUUGCGUGGUUUGUUGAGAGGUGCUUGACCUGCCGUAGGGUUAAGGCUGAGCACCAGAGGCGUCAUGGUAAGUUGCAGCCGUUAGAGGUUCCCGAAUGGAAGUGGGAACAAAUCUGCAUGGAUUUUAUCACCAAAUUGCCGAGGACUGCCAGAGGAGUUGAUGCAAUUUGGGUGAUUGUGGACAGGUUGACGAAGAGCGCUCACUUUCUUGCUAUUAGCGAGAGUUCUUCAGCAGAGAAAUUGGCAGAGGUGUAUGUGAGGGAAGUGGUAUCUCGGCAUGGGGUGCCGAUCUCGAUUGUUUUAGACCAUGAUGUCCAUUUCACUUCCAGAUUUUGGAAGAAGUUUCAUGAGGAGUUGGGUACUAGGCUGCAUUUUAGUACCGCAUAUCACUCCAGACAGACGGACAGAGUGAACAGACGAUUCAGACGCUCGAGGACAUGCUCCGGGCAUGUGUGUUGGAUUUCGGGGGUAGUUGGGAUGCAUAUUUGCCCUUGGCAGAGUUUUCCUACAACAACAGCCAUCAUUCGAGCAUUGGUAUGCCACCCUUUGAGCUGUUGUAUGGGAGGAGGUGUCGGACCCCCAUUUGUUGGGGAGAGGUUGGACAGUGUGUGAUGGGCAGUACAGAGAUCGUGGUUCAGACGACAGAGCAGAUCCAACAGGUCAGACAGAGGUUGUUGACCGCUCAGAGUCGUCAGAAGAGCUAUGCAGACAGAUGCCGGUCCGAGCUCGAGUUUCAGGUCGGCGACCUUGUACUCCCGAAGGUCUCUCCUUGGAAAGGAGUGAUUUGAUUCAGGAAGAGGGGAAAAUUGGGGCCCCGAUAUAUUGGUCCAUUCCAAGUGAUCGCGAGGGUAGGCCGGGUAGCCUAUCGUCUGGAUUUGCUAGUAGAGUUGGGGCAGAUUCACGACACNGACACUUUUCAUGUGUCGCAGUUGAGGAAGUGCAUAGCCGAUGAGUCGGCAGUGGUUCCAUUGGAGGAUAUUCAGGUGGAUGCGAGCCUGAAUUACACGGAGAGACCAGUUGCGAUUGUGGAUCGAAAGAUCAAGGUUCUGCGGAACAAGGAGGUGCCCUUGGUUUUGGUUUAGUGGCAACAUCGGAAGGGGUCCGAGAUGACUUGGGAGCCGGAGCGUGAGAUGCGUGAGCAGCAUCUGGAGUUAUUUGCAGAGCGAGACUUCGAGAACGAAGUCUAGUUCUAGUGGGGGAGAAUUGUAAUAGCCUGGAUUCCCAGGUAUUAUUCAUUCUUAUAAUUUGGUAUUUUGUGAGGAUACUCGACGAGUUGGAGCUCAGACUCGCCGAGUAGGAUCGAGGUUUUGGACGCGAGUUCGCGCCUGGACUCGGCGAGUCCAAGGAGUCGACUCGGCGAGUCCAUGCUGUUUAAUGAAACCCUAAUUCCCCGGGUUUGGAGCCUAUUUAAGGGCACUUAUAGCCUCCCAUUGCGGCUACCAGUCCCCUGAGAGAACCCUAAGAGAGCAAAUUCGUUUUGGGAGAGAAGUCACUUUUGGGCCUUUGUAUUCCUUGUUUAGCAAGAAGAAGGUGACAAGAGCAAGGAGGAGGUGGGAUUCUACCAGAUCCAGAGUCCGGAGGCUUGAUUUUGAGGUAAUGGUUCGAAUCUCCUUUAGUUUUAGGGUUGAUCUUUAGAGUUAGGGUUUUAUAACCCCUUUGAAGAGUGAUUAUGUGAAGCAAAUGGUCCCUCUUCGAGUUUGUGCCUUGGAUCUGGACUCAAAGAGGUCCAGAGACCUUAACCCUUGGGGCUUUUUGGGUUAUUAUGGAGUUAUUAGACCUAGGUGGUCAUUUUUGGGACCAAAUCAUCUUUUGAUGCCUUGUGUGGGUUAUACAAGCAUCAAGUUCCAAACUUUACGUGACAAUCAUGCUUGGGGAGGCUAGAUCUAUGGUUUGGGAAAGCAUAUCUGACCUCAAAAGGUCAAUAGAGUUUGUGCAUGGCAUGCACUCGCCGAGUUGUUCUUGAGACUCGGCGAAUGGGUCGGGGUUUCAUGUAAAGUGUUCAGCGAGUAGACUCACCGGGUUGGGGGUUGACCCAGUGAGUCACGGAGAGUCAUUAGGGGGCUGAGUCAAGCCUGAACUCGCCGAGUUGUUCUUGAGACUCGGCGAGUUGAGUCGUGGUGGCCCCGCGAUUCAUGCCAGGUGGAACUCGUCGAGUUAG
RNAcentral lists this long non-coding RNA (7190 nucleotides) under Lactuca sativa (garden lettuce). RNAcentral describes it as "long non-coding RNA (LSAT_LNC000457)". The record is from RNAcentral. Lineage: Eukaryota; Viridiplantae; Streptophyta; Magnoliopsida; Asterales; Asteraceae.